This 117-nucleotide transfer RNA is filed under the name Coniochaeta sp. 2T2.1. It matches the Rfam family "tRNA". Rfam says of the family: Transfer RNA (tRNA) molecules are approximately 80 nucleotides in length. Their secondary structure includes four short double-helical elements and three loops (D, anti-codon, and T loops). The record is from Rfam by way of RNAcentral. Lineage: Eukaryota; Fungi; Ascomycota; Sordariomycetes; Coniochaetales; Coniochaetaceae.
GGCAGGAUGGCCGAGCGGUCUAAGGCGCUAGACUCAAGUGUUUCCACACUUCUGUUCCUUCAAGGACAGAGCAUUCUAGUAUCGAAAGGUGCGCGGGUUCGAAUCCCGCUCCUGUCA